Molecule: ribosomal RNA, 433 nt
Filed under: uncultured bacterium
Lineage: Bacteria
Description: partial 16S ribosomal RNA
Rfam family: Bacterial small subunit ribosomal RNA
Source: RNAcentral
AACGAACGCUGGCGGCAUGCCUAACACAUGCAAGUCGAACGAGACCUUCGGGUCUAGUGGCGCACGGGUGCGUAACGCGUGGGAACCUGCCCUUAGGUUCGGAAUAACUCCCCGAAAGGGGUGCUAAUACCGGAUAAUGUCUUCGGACCAAAGAUUUAUCGCCUUUGGAUGGGCCCGCGUUGGAUUAGCUAGUUGGUAGGGUAAAAGCCUACCAAGGCGACGAUCCAUAGCUGGUCUGAGAGGAUGAUCAGCCACACUGGGACUGAGACUCGGCCCAGACUCCUACGGGAGGCAGCAGUGGGGAAUAUUGGACAAUGGGCGAAAGCCUGAUCCAGCAAUGCCGCGUGAGUGAUGAAGGCCUUAGGGUUGUAAAGCUCUUUUACCCGGGAUGAUAAUGACAGUACCGGGAGAAUAAGCGCCGGCUAACUCCGUG